RNAcentral lists this ribosomal RNA (651 nucleotides) under uncultured bacterium. RNAcentral describes it as "bacterial SSU rRNA". It matches the Rfam family "Bacterial small subunit ribosomal RNA", at positions 516 to 1167 of the family's 1533-position model. The record is from RNAcentral.
CGCGGUAAUACGGAGGGUGCAAGCGUUAAUCGGAAUUACUGGGCGUAAAGCGCACGCAGGCGGUCUGUCAAGUCGGAUGUGAAAUCCCCGGGCUCAACCUGGGAACUGCAUUCGAAACUGGCAGGCUAGAGUCUUGUAGAGGGGAGUAGAAUUCCAGGUGUAGCGGUGAAAUGCGUAGAGAUCUGGAGGAAUACCGGUGGCGAAGGCGGCCCCCUGGACAAAGACUGACGCUCAGGUGCGAAAGCGUGGGGAGCAAACAGGAUUAGAUACCCUGGUAGUCCACGCCGUAAACGAUGUCGAUUUGGAGGUUGUGCCCUUGAGGCGUGGCUUCCGGAGCUAACGCGUUAAAUCGACCGCCUGGGGAGUACGGCCGCAAGGUUAAAACUCAAAUGAAUUGACGGGGGCCCGCACAAGCGGUGGAGCAUGUGGUUUAAUUCGAUGCAACGCGAAGAACCUUACCUGGUCUUGGCAUCCACAGAACUUAGCAGAGAUGCUUUGGUGCCUUCGGGAACUGUGAGACAGGUGCUGCAUGGCUGUCGUCAGCUCGUGUUGUGAAAUGUUGGGUUAAGUCCCGCAACGAGCGCAACCCUUAUCCUUUGUUGCCAGCGGUUAGGCCGGGAACUCAAAGGAGACUGCCAGUGAUAAACUGGA